AUUGAACGCUGGCGGCAGGCCUAACACAUGCAAGUCGAGCGGUAACAGGGGUAGCUUGCUACCCGCUGACGAGCGGCGGACGGGUGAGUAAUGCAUAGGAAUCUGCCCGGUAGUGGGGGAUAACCUGGGGAAACCCAGGCUAAUACCGCAUACGUCCUACGGGAGAAAGGGGGCUCCGGCUCCCGCUAUUGGAUGAGCCUAUGUCGGAUUAGCUAGUUGGUGAGGUAAUGGCUCACCAAGGCAACGAUCCGUAGCUGGUCUGAGAGGAUGAUCAGCCACAUCGGGACUGAGACACGGCCCGAACUCCUACGGGAGGCAGCAGUGGGGAAUAUUGGACAAUGGGGGCAACCCUGAUCCAGCCAUGCCGCGUGUGUGAAGAAGGCCCUCGGGUUGUAAAGCACUUUCAGCGAGGAAGAACGCCUAGUGGUUAAUACCCAUUAGGAAAGACAUCACUCGCAGAAGAAGCACCGGCUAACUCCGUGCCAGCAGCCGCGGUAAUACGGAGGGUGCAAGCGUUAAUCGGAAUUACUGGGCGUAAAGCGCGCGUAGGUGGCUUGAUAAGCCGGUUGUGAAAGCCCCGGGCUCAACCUGGGAACGGCAUCCGGAACUGUCAGGCUAGAGUGCAGGAGAGGAAGGUAGAAUUCCCGGUGUAGCGGUGAAAUGCGUAGAGAUCGGGAGGAAUACCAGUGGCGAAGGCGGCCUUCUGGACUGACACUGACACUGAGGUGCGAAAGCGUGGGUAGCAAACAGGAUUAGAUACCCUGGUAGUCCACGCCGUAAACGAUGUCGACCAGCCGUUGGGUGCCUAGAGCACUUUGUGGCGAAGUUAACGCGAUAAGUCGACCGCCUGGGGAGUACGGCCGCAAGGUUAAAACUCAAAUGAAUUGACGGGGGCCCGCACAAGCGGUGGAGCAUGUGGUUUAAUUCGAUGCAACGCGAAGAACCUUACCUACCCUUGACAUCUACAGAAGCCGGAAGAGAUUCUGGUGUGCCUUCGGGAACUGUAAGACAGGUGCUGCAUGGCUGUCGUCAGCUCGUGUUGUGAAAUGUUGGGUUAAGUCCCGUAACGAGCGCAACCCUUGUCCUUAUUUGCCAGCGAGUAAUGUCGGGAACUCUAAGGA
This 1121-nucleotide ribosomal RNA is filed under the name Halomonas sp. BB65. RNAcentral describes it as "bacterial SSU rRNA". It matches the Rfam family "Bacterial small subunit ribosomal RNA", at positions 28 to 1146 of the family's 1533-position model. Lineage: Bacteria; Pseudomonadati; Pseudomonadota; Gammaproteobacteria; Oceanospirillales; Halomonadaceae. The record is from RNAcentral.